GUCCACGCUGUAAACGAUGAUCACUAGAUGUCGGUCUUGCGUUGCAAGAUCGGUAUUGGAGCUAACGCGUUAAGUGAUCCGCCUGGGGAGUACGGUCGCAAGAUUAAAACUCAAAGAAAUUGACGGGGGUCCGCACAAGCGGUGGAACAUGUGGUUUAAUUCGACACUACGCGAGGAACCUUACCUAGGCUUGACAUUCUUUUGACAGUUGUGGAAACACAAUCUUCCAAGUUUACUUGGACAAUUGAACAGGUGCUGCAUGGCUGUCGU
This 270-nucleotide ribosomal RNA is filed under the name uncultured bacterium. Its description in RNAcentral is "partial 16S ribosomal RNA". It matches the Rfam family "Bacterial small subunit ribosomal RNA", at positions 793 to 1055 of the family's 1533-position model. The record is from RNAcentral.